AUUUCCUAACAAAGCCUUUCGUUCAUUAAAUCUUCCCCCCACCCCCUUCAAUGACAAUUUUCCCCGUUGCUUCGAAGUUGCAUCGCGAAGAAGCGCGAGAAAAUAUCAGAACCACCCUAGGCCAGACACGGAAGUGCGCACAACUGUUCACGCGGAAGCCAGACCUGUUCACGGCAAAGAAACUUGUCAAUGAGUGAUCGUGUUAUACAAUGGACACAGGGUUCUACAAGGCAGAAGUUCUGAAAUUUGACAAUAAAUGGAGACCAAGAACAUUUUCUUUUAUAAAUCCAAGUUUCUUCUUUGUUACAGGAGCAAUGAUUUAUUUCAGGAACCUGAGCAUACAGAUGUUGUUGAUAAAAAGAAGUUACCUAUUUUAAAACUGAAUGAAAACUGCAAGUACAAAGAGAGAGGCUGUAUAUUUUUUAUUUGAAAUAUUUAAAUAUGAAUGGUGAAAAAGGAAGAAAAAUAUGCAAAAAAUAAAUAUCAUUUUUAAGAGUAUCUAUUUUGCAUUUAACUGCAUUUUAAUAAGUACUCCAUCAUAUUUGAAAUUGCAUGUUAUACGUGGCUGUCAGGCAAUGCAAUGCUUCAAAAUGAUCCAAGAUUCACUUUGUGCGGGUGAUAUAUGUAUUUGCUCGCAUUCCACGUGUCAGUUCAAUUAAGUCUCAUAUACAUCAAGAUCCUCGAUGCAUAACGAGAAUUCUAGGGAAAAAAAAAAUGAAACAGUCGAGAAGAACACUUUGAUA
This is a long non-coding RNA of Apis dorsata (giant honeybee), 743 nucleotides long. RefSeq lists it as uncharacterized. The record is from RefSeq and is a predicted model, not a curated record. Lineage: Eukaryota; Metazoa; Arthropoda; Insecta; Hymenoptera; Apidae. The transcript is spliced from 3 exons.